RNAcentral lists this signal recognition particle RNA (98 nucleotides) under Planctomycetota bacterium. Its description in RNAcentral is "Planctomycetes bacterium signal recognition particle sRNA small type". It matches the Rfam family "Bacterial small signal recognition particle RNA". From Rfam's summary of the family: The signal recognition particle (SRP) is a universally conserved ribonucleoprotein involved in the co-translational targeting of proteins to membranes. Archaeal SRP consists of a 7S RNA and homologues of the eukaryotic SRP19 and SRP54 proteins. The record is from RNAcentral. Lineage: Bacteria; Pseudomonadati; Planctomycetota.
GGUCCGGUCCCGGGCGAUGGAUCGGAUUCGAACCGGGUCAGGCCGGGAACGGAGCAGCCCUAAGGAUCCCGAGCCAGGCGCCUGGUGCCCGGGCCCUC